AUUGAACGCUGGCGGCAGGCCUAACACAUGCAAGUCGAGCGGAUGAAAGGGGCUUGCUCCUGGAUUCAGCGGCGGACGGGUGAGUAAUGCGCAGGAAUCUACCUCGUAGUGGGGGAUAACGUCUCGAAAGGGGCGCUAAUACCGCAUACGUUCUGAGGAAGAAAGCAGGGGACCUUCGGGCCUUGCGCUAUGAGAUGAGCUUGCGUCCGAUUAGCUAGUUGGUGGGGUAAAGGCCUACCAAGGCGACGAUCGGUAACUGGUCUGAGAGGAUGAUCAGUCACACUGGAACUGAGACACGGUCCAGACUCCUACGGGAGGCAGCAGUGGGGAAUAUUGGACAAUGGGGGGCAACCCUGAUCCAGCCAUGCCGCGUGUGUGAAGAAGGCCUCGGGUUGUAAGCACUUUAAGUCGGGGAGGAAGGGACCUGAUGGCUAAUAUCCAUCGGAUUGACGUUACCCGCAGAUAAGCACCGGCAAACUUCGUGCCAGCAGCCGCGGUAAUC
RNAcentral lists this ribosomal RNA (502 nucleotides) under uncultured bacterium. RNAcentral describes it as "bacterial SSU rRNA". It matches the Rfam family "Bacterial small subunit ribosomal RNA", at positions 30 to 525 of the family's 1533-position model. The record is from RNAcentral.